This 265-nucleotide ribosomal RNA is filed under the name uncultured prokaryote. RNAcentral's name for it is "partial 16S ribosomal RNA". It matches the Rfam family "Bacterial small subunit ribosomal RNA", at positions 524 to 788 of the family's 1533-position model. The record is from RNAcentral.
UACGGAGGACGCAAGCGUUAUCCGGAUUUAUUGGGUUUAAAGGGCGUGUAGCCGGGUCGGUAAGUCAGAUGUGAAAUCUGGAGGCUCAACCUCCAAACUGCAUUUGAAACUGCUGAUCUUGAGUAUCGGAGAGGCAAUCGGAAUUCCUAGUGUAGCGGUGAAAUGCGUAGAUAUUAGGAGGAACACCAGUGGCGAAGGCGGAUUGCUGGACGACAACUGACGGUGAGGCGCGAAAGCGUGGGGAGCAAACAGGAUUAGAUACCCU